CAUAUACAUCAAGUAUUGUUUGGACUUAUUGAUUCUUUAUUUGGUCUCUUUAUUUUGCAAUUUAAAAUCCAAAAAUCUUUUUGGAGUCACAAAAAUAGGACUUUUACCUUGGAAAAUUCUAAAUUUCUACAGUAAAGUUAAAUUUUUGUACAAGAGUGGUCAGAGAUGUCCUUAACACAUGUAUAUUAGUCUUUGUUUGGAAUUAUUGAGAAAUGUAUUUUUAUUGCAGUUCAAACGUUGAGAAAAAAUCAGUUUGAACAGCAAGCAAUUAUAGGGCUAUAACUUUGUGACUUUGUACAGUAAAAAUAUUUAUAUUGGGCUUUUACUUUGGAAAAAUCUCUAAAUUUGUACAGUUAAAAAUAUUUUAUUUUGUGAAAAAGAAUAGUCAGAGAGGUCAGGAGACACCUACUUCUAUCAUUGUCCGAAAUUUGAUAUUUAAAUAGCCUUUAUUUGGGUUACAUGUUUAAUACCGUAAAUGUCAGCAUAUACGUGUGCUAAUAUUCAUGUGUCUGGUGACCACGCAAAUCCGAGCGUCUGCUGAGUCGACCGCAGUCCUCAAACUCUAUCAUUUCUGGUCCAUUUGCAUGAAAGGCAUCAUUCUGGCUAGAUGCGACUGAGAGGGGGAAUGGCUUAUCACCGGAAUGUUUUAUACAGCUCGAGACGGUAUGGAGCAGGAGGAAAUCCCCUAUCGGAGGGACACCUGCUAUGACUACUUGUCCGCUUUCCUGACCUCAAUCUACGCUCACUGGCCGGGCGCAUACGCCAAAACAUGGGGCCUUGAGGCCACGGCUCACUCCUGCACCAUCCCCGCCACGCCCGAGGGUGUUGUCUCGGUAGGUGUACACUACAAAAAUUCCCCAUACAACUGCGUUGACCUCCGAUCCGAAACAGGGCGGCUGUUACGAGGCCAGCUGGACGCAGUCGUGAUGACCUGGUCCCAAGGGUGCUAGAGGUCUACAAAGCUUCAGACACUAAAUACAUUUUGAACUGCCUCGAGAAAGCUGUAUGGAGUUGCUCAUCAUCUCUAAAUGGAUGAAGUCCAUUUUCAUGGUUUACAUGGUUUUUCUGUCUGAACUUUUUGUGGAUAUUCUGUUAACUACACUGAAUAUGUUGUUUAAAUAAUGUACAGAAGUUGUUAGAUAUCUGCAUGUUAUAAUGUAAAAUAUUUAUUUUCAUGUGAGAAAUAAAUAUAAUUUUUGCAACAAGACAUAGUGUUUCUCAUAACUAUAAAUUAUCAUUUGAAACAAUGCAUACUUUUAAGUAAAGUGAACUAGGAAAGUA
This is a long non-coding RNA of Gasterosteus aculeatus aculeatus (three-spined stickleback), 1281 nucleotides long. Lineage: Eukaryota; Metazoa; Chordata; Actinopteri; Perciformes; Gasterosteidae. The record is from Ensembl.